This 513-nucleotide ribosomal RNA is filed under the name uncultured bacterium. RNAcentral's name for it is "partial 16S ribosomal RNA". It matches the Rfam family "Bacterial small subunit ribosomal RNA", at positions 28 to 523 of the family's 1533-position model. The record is from RNAcentral.
GACGAACGCUGGCGGCAUGCCUAAUACAUGCAAGUCGAGCGAACAGAUGAAGUGCUUGCACUUCUGACGUUAGCGGCAAACGGGUGAGUAACACGUAAGGAAUCUACCUAUAAGCGGGGGAUAACAUUCGGAAACGGGUGCUAAUACCGCAUAAUAUCUUCUUCCGCAUGGAAGAAGAUUGAAAGACGGCUCUGCUGUCACUUAUAGAUGACCUUGCGGUGCAUUAGUUAGUUGGUGGGGUAAUGGCCUACCAAGACGAUGAUGCAUAGCCGACAUGGAAGGGUGAUCGGCCACAUGGCGACGGUGACCCGGCCCGAACUCCUACGGGAGGCAGCAGUAGGGAAUCUUCCGCUAUGGGCGAAAGCCUGACGUAGCAAUGCCGCGUGAGUGAAGAUGGCCUUCGGGUCGUAAAUCUCUGUUAUAAGAGAAGAACAAAUUGUAGAGUAACGGCUACAGUCUUGACGGUAUCUUAUCAGAAAGCCACGGCUAACUACGUGCCAGCCGCCGCCGUAA